RNAcentral lists this long non-coding RNA (224 nucleotides) under Elaeis guineensis (African oil palm). Its description in RNAcentral is "long non-coding RNA (EGUI_LNC022940)". Lineage: Eukaryota; Viridiplantae; Streptophyta; Magnoliopsida; Arecales; Arecaceae. The record is from RNAcentral.
UCACGGAAGACCGGUCCCCUACGUGAGAGAUCCCGCGAGAUCGUGCGGUCCACCGGUCCAUUUAAUAUCCUCCAAUUUAAAGAGGCGAUUUAAAUCGGUUGGGGAAUAAGAAUUCUAUCGGGCGAGCGACGUGGCGCGAUGCGGCACGUGGUAUCUGACGACACGAAGUCACGUGACUGCCUGCGGCCGACACGAGUCCCCCUCGAUUUAAUGGCGGCACAUGC